Molecule: ribosomal RNA, 449 nt
Filed under: uncultured bacterium
Lineage: Bacteria
Description: bacterial SSU rRNA
Rfam family: Bacterial small subunit ribosomal RNA
Source: RNAcentral
UGAGGAAUAUUGCGCAAUGGGCGAAAGCCUGACGCAGCGACGCCGCGUGGAGGAUGAAGGCCUUAGGGUUGUAAACUUCUGUUAAGUGGGAAGAAAGGCGAAGCUUUAAUACAGCUUUGAUAUGACGGUACCAUUAGAGAAAGCACCGGCUAAACUCGUGCCAGCAGCCGCGGUAAUACGAGUGGUGCGAGCGUUAUUCGGAAUAAUUGGGCGUAAAGGGUGCGCAGGCGGUAUGCUAAGUCAACUGUUAAAUACCUCAGCCUAACUGGGGAUCAGCGGUAGAUACUGGCGUGCUAGAGGGUGGAAGAGAGAAGUGGAAUUCUUGGAGUAGCGGUAAAAUGCGUAGAUCUCAAGAGGAACACCGAUGGCGAAGGCAGCUUCUUGGUCCACAUCUGACGCUCAUGCACGAAAGCGUGGGGAGCAAACAGGAUUAGAUACCCCUGUAGUCC